RNAcentral lists this ribosomal RNA (454 nucleotides) under uncultured organism. RNAcentral's name for it is "partial 16S ribosomal RNA". It matches the Rfam family "Bacterial small subunit ribosomal RNA", at positions 329 to 801 of the family's 1533-position model. The record is from RNAcentral.
ACGUACACUCCUACGGGAGCAGCAGUGGGGAAUAUUGGACAAUGGGCGCAAGCCUGAUCCAGCCAUGCCGCGUGAGUGAUGAAGGCCCUAGGGUUGUAAAGCUCUUUCACCGGUGAAGAUAAUGACGGUAACCGGAGAAGAAGCCCCGGCUAACUUCGUGCCAGCAGCCGCGGUAUACGAAGGGGGCUAGCGUUGUUCGGAUUUACUGGGCGUAAAGCGCACGUAGGCGGACUAUUAAGUCAGGGGUGAAAUCCCGGGGCUCAACCCCGGAACUGCCUUUGAUACUGGUAGUCUUGAGUUCGAGAGAGGUGAGUGGAAUUCCGAGUGUAGAGGUGAAAUUCGUAGAUAUUCGGAGGAACACCAGUGGCGAAGGCGGCUCACUGGCUCGAUACUGACGCUGAGGUGCGAAAGCGUGGGGAGCAAACAGGAGUAGAAACCCCUGUAGUCCCAUGAU